GACGAACGCUGGCGGCGUGCUUAACACAUGCAAGUCGAGCGAGAAGACGUAGCAAUACGUUUGUAAAGCGGCGAACGGGUGAGGAAUACAUGGGUAACCUACCCUAGAGUGGGGAAUAACUAGCCGAAAGGUUAGCUAAUACCGCGUACGCUCCUUGGACUUCGGUUCAGGGAGGAAAGCGAUACCGAGGGUAUCGCGCUCUUGGAUGGGCUCAUGUCCUAUCAGCUUGNGGUGAGGUAACGGCUCACCAAGGCUUCGACGGGUAGCUGGUCUGAGAGGACGAUCAGCCACACUGGCACUGCGACACGGGCCAGACUCCUACGGGAGGCAGCAGUAAGGAAUAUUGCGCAAUGGGCGAAAGCCUGACGCAGCGACGCCGC
RNAcentral lists this ribosomal RNA (380 nucleotides) under uncultured bacterium. RNAcentral's name for it is "bacterial SSU rRNA". It matches the Rfam family "Bacterial small subunit ribosomal RNA", at positions 28 to 400 of the family's 1533-position model. The record is from RNAcentral.